CAGUCGCCACGGUAAUACAGAGGGUGCGAGCGUUAAUCGGAUUUACUGGGCGUAAAGCGUGCGUAGGCGGCUUCUUAAGUCGGAUGUGAAAUCCCUGAGCUUAACUUAGGAAUUGCAUUAGAUACUGGGAAGCUAGAGUAUGGGAGAGGAUGGUAGAAUUCCAGGUGUAGCGGUGAAAUGCGUAGAGAUCUGGAGGAAUACCGAUGGCGAAGGCAGCCAUCUGGCCUAAUACUGACGCUGAGGUACGAAAGCAUGGGGAGCAAACAGGAUUAGAUACCCCCGUAGUCCCUGUCUCUUAUAC
RNAcentral lists this ribosomal RNA (301 nucleotides) under uncultured bacterium. Its description in RNAcentral is "partial 16S ribosomal RNA". It matches the Rfam family "Bacterial small subunit ribosomal RNA", at positions 509 to 807 of the family's 1533-position model. The record is from RNAcentral.